UCUCUUUUAUCAUGGAAACAAAAUUCCGCUUCCGGCGGUGACAUCUCACUGGCCAGAACUGUGUCACAUGACCAGCGCUACUGCAGCACAGCUCGGGGAGUGGGCACUAAGCUUUUCCGGUGUCUAUUGUGGAAGAGAGAAGGGGAGAAGAGCGUGGCGUUAUGACUGUGGCGGACGUCUGGCAUUGCGACCGCCCAGCAUCUUCUGAAUAUCCUCUCUGCAAUUUGGUAGUUCCCACAUCGUGAAUUCUUUCUCUCCCACUUAGAAUCUAGAAGGAUUACGUUGGUCAGCCUCCCUCACCACUAGGGGCAGAUGUCUGACGUGACCUGGGAGAGGGCGGCUGCACCAGGACCCCAGUGGGCUGCUGAGGCGACCGUUUCGCUGGACUGGUCCCAGCAAAGGCAGCUUGUUUCUGGGGCCGGGGGUGGUGUCAGCGUCUUGCUGCUGCCGACACAGCAGCUCUGGGCGUGGUGGGGGCAGCAGAGCCUGAACCCAGACCAGUCCUGGCAGGGGUUUUGGGUACUGUUCCUGGAAGCUUAGCUAGAUCCUCGAGCCCUCUCACAGCCCCUUAUAAAUCCAUAUCUGCUUAAACAAGCUAGAGUGGGUUCCUUUAUCCACAGCUGUUACGGGUUGGAUUGUGUCUCCCCACAUGCUGUGCUGAAGUCCGAAUCCCCGGUACCUGCGAACGGGACCUUAUUUGGAAAUAGGGUCUUUACAGAUGUAGUCAAGUUCCGAAGACGUUAUUAGGGUGGGCCUCAAUCCGAUAUGCUGGCGUCCUUAUAAGAUGAGGGAAAUUUGGGCACAGACCCCCAAGGGAGAAGGCCAUGUGACGGCAGAGGCAGACAUGGAGGGGCUGCGGCUUCGAGCCCUGGAAGGCCAGGCUGACAGCGUCCCCAGAAGCUGGAGGAGGCGGGGAGGACCCUCCUCUGGAGCCUUCAGAGGGAGCACGGCGCUGCCCACACCUUGAUGUUGGACUUCUGGCCUCCAGAGUGUGAGAGAAUAAACUUCUGUUAAGCCCCCCGAUUUGUGGUGCUUUGUUACAGCAGCCCUAGGACACGCAUACAGCAGAGGCUGGAAGUCUGAGCUCAAGGUGUCAGCAGGCAUGGCGUCUCCUGAGGCCUCUCUCCAAGGCGUGCAGACGACCGUCUCCUCGCUGGGUCCUCACGUGGUCGCGUCCCUCUGUGUGUGUCUGUGUCCUCACCUCCUCCUCCUAUAAGGACACCAGCCUUGGGACUUCCCUGGCCAUCCAGUGGCUCCGGACGCGCAGGCUCAGCGGCCACGACUCACGGGCCCAGCCACUCCGCGGCAUGUGGGAUCUUCCCGGACUGGGGCACGAACUCGUGUCCCCUGCAUCGGCAGGCGGACUCUCAACCACUGCGCCAACAGGGAAGCCCCUAUAACUGUAUCUUUAUAUAUUCUUUAUAUAUAUAUU
Molecule: long non-coding RNA, 1432 nt
Organism: Mesoplodon densirostris (Blainville's beaked whale)
Lineage: Eukaryota; Metazoa; Chordata; Mammalia; Artiodactyla; Ziphiidae
Exons: 3
Source: RefSeq, a predicted model, not a curated record